ACCCUGGUUGAUUAAUGGUAAAUCGCCCACACCUCUUGACUAGAAAACUGUCGAGCAGAUUGAUGUGAGAGACCGAGGUUCGAAUCCUCCCUGGGGCA
Non-coding RNA from Mycena rebaudengoi, 98 nucleotides. NCBI's taxonomy places the organism in Eukaryota, Fungi, Basidiomycota, Agaricomycetes, Agaricales, Mycenaceae. The record is from the annotation of a GenBank genome assembly.